This 468-nucleotide ribosomal RNA is filed under the name uncultured bacterium. RNAcentral describes it as "partial 16S ribosomal RNA". It matches the Rfam family "Bacterial small subunit ribosomal RNA", at positions 28 to 507 of the family's 1533-position model. The record is from RNAcentral.
GACGAACGCUGGCGGCGUGCUUAACACAUGCAAGUCGAACGGAAAGGCCCUGCUUUUGUGGGGUGCUCGAGUGGCGAACGGGUGAGUAACACGUGAGUAACCUGCCCUUUACUUUGUGAUAACUUCAGGAAACUGGGGCUAAUACCGGAUAGGAGCUCCUGCUGCAUGGUGGGGGUUGGAAAGUUUCGGCGGUUGGGGAUGGACUCGCGGCUUAUCAGCUUGUUGGUGGGGUAGUGGCUUACCAAGGCUUUGACGGGUAGCCGGCCUGAGAGGGUGACCGGCCACCUUGGGACUGAGAGACGGCCCAGACUCCUACGGGAGGCAGCAGUGGGGAGUAUUGCACAAUGGGCGGAAGCCUGAUGCAGCAAUGCCGCGUGCGGGAUGACGGCCUUCGGGUUGUAAACCGCAUUCGCCUGUGACGAAGCGUGAGUGACGGUAAUGGGUAAAGAAGCACCGGCUAACUACGUG